This 397-nucleotide ribosomal RNA is filed under the name uncultured bacterium. Its description in RNAcentral is "bacterial SSU rRNA". It matches the Rfam family "Bacterial small subunit ribosomal RNA", at positions 45 to 489 of the family's 1533-position model. The record is from RNAcentral.
UGCUUAAACAUGCAAGUCGAACGAACCUUCGGGUUAGUGGCGGACGGGUGAGUAACGCGUGAGAAUCUGCCCUCAGGAGGGGGAUAACACGUGGAAACGGCUGCUAAUACCCCAUAUGCCGCGAGGUGAAAUGAAUUUCGCCUGAGGAUGAGCUCGCGUCUGAUUAGCUACUUGGUGUAAGUAAUGGCUCACCAAGGCAUCGAUCAGUAGCUGGUCUGAGAGGAUGAUCAGCCACACCGGGAUUGAGACACGGCCCAGACUCCUACGGGAGGCACCAGUGGGGAAUUUUCCGCAAUGGGCGAAAGCCUGACGGAGCAACGCCGCGUGAGGGAUGAAGGCCUCUGGGCUGUAAACCUCUUUUAUCAAGGAAGAACAUCUGACGGUACUGGAUGAAUAA